GAUGAACGCUGGCGGCGUGCCUAAUACACGCAAGUCGAGCGAACGGACGAGAAGCUUGCUUCUCUGAUGUUAGCGGCGGACGGGUGAGUAACACGUGGAUAACCUACCUAUAAGACUGGGAUAACUUCGGGAAACCGGAGCUAAUACCGGAUAAUAUUUUGAACCGCAUGGUUCAAAAGUGAAAGACGGUCUUGCUGUCACUUAUAGAUGGUUCCGCGCUGCAUUAGCUAGUUGGUAAGGUAACGGCUUACCAAGGCAACGAUGCAUAGCCGACCUGAGAGGGUGAUCGGCCACACUGGAACUGAGACACGGUCCAGACUCCUACGGGAGGCAGCAGUAGGGAAUCUUCCGCAAUGGGCGAAAGCCUGACGGAGCAACGCCGCGUGAGUGAUGAAGGUCUUCGGAUCGUAAAACUCUGUUAUUAGGGAAGAACAUAUGUGUAAGUAACUGUGCACAUCUUGACGGUACCUAAUCAGAAAGCCACGGCUAACUACGUG
This 497-nucleotide ribosomal RNA is filed under the name uncultured bacterium. RNAcentral's name for it is "partial 16S ribosomal RNA". It matches the Rfam family "Bacterial small subunit ribosomal RNA", at positions 28 to 507 of the family's 1533-position model. The record is from RNAcentral.